RNAcentral lists this transfer RNA (76 nucleotides) under Synechococcus sp. MU1644. RNAcentral describes it as "tRNA-Gln". It matches the Rfam family "tRNA". Rfam says of the family: Transfer RNA (tRNA) molecules are approximately 80 nucleotides in length. Their secondary structure includes four short double-helical elements and three loops (D, anti-codon, and T loops). RNAcentral also lists the same sequence under 2 other names. Lineage: Bacteria; Bacillati; Cyanobacteriota; Cyanophyceae; Synechococcales; Synechococcaceae. The record is from RNAcentral.
UGGGAUGUAGAUCAAUUGGUAGAUCAACUGUUUUUGGUACAGUAGGUUGUAGGUUCGAGUCCUACCAUCCCAGCCA